This 442-nucleotide ribosomal RNA is filed under the name uncultured bacterium. Its description in RNAcentral is "partial 16S ribosomal RNA". It matches the Rfam family "Bacterial small subunit ribosomal RNA", at positions 338 to 795 of the family's 1533-position model. The record is from RNAcentral.
CCUACGGGUGGCAGCAGUAGGGAAUCUUUCACAAUGGGCGAAAGCCUGAUGGAGCAACGCCGCGUGCAGGAUGAAGGCCUUCGGGUUGUAAACUGCUUUUAUAAGCGAGAAAUAUGAUGGUAACUUAUGAAUAAGGAUCGGCUAACUACGUGCCAGCAGCCGCGGUCAUACGUAGGAGCCGAGCAUUAUCCGGAGUGACUGGGUGUAAAGAGUUGCGUAGGUGGCAUAAUAAGUAGCUAGUGAAAUCUGGUGGGUCAACCAUUCAGACUAUUAGCUAAACUGUGAAGCUCGAGUCCGUGAGGGGUAACUGGAAUUUCUAGUGUAGGAGUGAAAUGCGUAGAUAUUAGGAGGAACACCAGUGGCGAAGGCAGGUUACUGGAACGUUUCUGACGCUAAGGCACGAAAGCGUAGGGAGCAAACGGGAUUAGAUACCCCGGUAGUC